GAGGCCCGUCCGGGCGCGACCGGCUCACCUGCCUGGGGUCCAUGGCGCCCACGACGCAUGACCUGGAGCGGCGCUGGCGACCCUCCCCCUCCGGGCGCUCCCCUCCCCAGGACCACUGGAGUCACUCCUUCGGGAAGGCGACUACGCCCCACAUGCCCUGCCCCGCCCGGGACCCCCGGGGCACAACUCCCGCCCCCCCAGCCCAGUUCUGUGGAAACAGCCCGAGGCUAGGCCUCUGCCUCAGCCGCCGUCCCCCCGCCCCCCACCACUUACCCUCCCAGCAGGUUGUGAGCGACUUAAACCCACCACCGCUGGGGCACCAUUUAGGGUCUAAUGGUGACGCCAUCCCAGCACGCCUUCACAGCUCUGCCAGGUAGGCAGGCUUGACUCCCAAAUUACGUGCAAACUGAGGCCUGAGGCGGGCUGCUGAUAAACCCAGGCCUCACUCUGCACCCCCACUGUGCGCUCACUGCAGUUAGGACUCCCCCAAAGAUAACUUCUGUUGUCUGCUGGGGGAAAUUCAACUGAUCUCACGUAGGCUUGUCCAAGAGGUCAAUCCUAUGGUCAGUAGUCCACAUUCCUCCCCAGUGAGAAACUGAUUUCCUGUUUCAUCGCCAUUUCGUCCCCACGGCCUGUGAGGUCAGGAUGCCCGGCUGGUGCCCUUUCCCUCCGGUCUCCCUGGAGCACCCAACCUCCAACUCCCCAUGGGCAGUGGGCUGGGCUCCCCCUCCUGUGCGUCUGUGCGUGUCCUCCGAGGCUUAGAAUGUACCUGUGGCGCUGCUUCUGACCAAAGGCUCUCAGGGGCUGCCUCAAAUAUCCUCUCCCCAGGAAGCCUCACCCAGCUCUGGGUUGGGGAGUGGGUGCCUCUGCAGCCCCUCAUUUUGUGCUUCUCCGUUACUCCGCGCUUACCCUACAGAGCACUUUAUCUGUGCUCUGAAAAUGUCUGGGUCCUUGAACGCAGCUUCCCACACGCCUCCCACGUGCCAGGGAAGGGCAGGUGUCCUUGGGGAAGGGCAGGUGCCCUUAGCCAACAGUCUGCUGGGGAGGACCAGCACUCCCGACAAGGAUCACAGUGCCGUGCCUCCUGACAUUCUGCACUUAGUGACUGACCCAUAAUCCACUGCGUGGAAAGAAUAAUCGAUGGGUAGAAUGUAGCACAGAACUCGAUGAAGCUGGAAAGAUCAACAAACCUAUGAAACCGCGCUCGAUGUCCUCACAUUGGGGAAAUGCACGGGAAGGCCACAGAGUUACUGCCCACCCCCAGACCGGCCGCUCGACCACGUGGGCAGCAGCUCCCACUCCCUACUGGAAACCAGUUCACGAUACGCGGGACAGGCAGGAAUAUACACGCCCUACAAGUGCGCAGUCCCACUUCUACACCUGGACGCACGUACACAGAGUGGCCUUACUGGGAACAGACAACCCGGAAACAGCCCAAACGUCCAGGAAAAGUACAACGGAUAGAUGGCGGCACAUACUGGCGACGGAACGUUCCACGGCGUCAAACACCACAGAGCUGGAACCACACGCAGCACAGUGGGUCAUCAUCUAAACAGGACACCGAGCAAAGACACACUACCUGUCCACUUAUAUCACGUCCCAAACCAGGCAAAACUACAGCGGGCACCUCACAGAAGCCAGGACGGGGUCACCUUUAGGGAGGAAGAAGGGUGUUCCGACUGGGAAGCAACGUUCUGGGUGCUGGGCCGCAGCUCAUGAAGUCACAUACUUGGGCUUUAUGUACAUUUCUGCGUGGAUGUGCUACACUUCACAAUGGUAAAAGGUUAAAAACGAGAAACUCUCCGUACCUGACCCCGGCCAGUCUUCCUAUGUUCUAUUUUCCAUUUAAGUAAAAUGCGUUAGGUCUUA
This is a long non-coding RNA of Herpailurus yagouaroundi (jaguarundi), 1869 nucleotides long. RefSeq lists it as uncharacterized. Lineage: Eukaryota; Metazoa; Chordata; Mammalia; Carnivora; Felidae. The transcript is spliced from 2 exons. The record is from RefSeq and is a predicted model, not a curated record.